CCCAGUUCCCUAGCCCAGAAAAGCGGAUUGGAGCCCGGGAAGCUCAUUGCGAUUCCAAAGAUGCGGAAACUGAAGCUCAGAGAGCCCAAGUCAUUUGCCCAAGGUCCCAGUGACCUGCCGAGUGGGAAGAGCCGUGGCUGGCCGGCCUCCCAGUGGCGACGACGACCUCGCUGUGUUCGUGGCAGCGGCACUCUCAAAUCUGGGCACGGUGAUGGGAAGGUUAUUUGUUGGAAUCCCUUUGCCUUUCCAAGGGAAAAUAAACACAAAAAGUGAGAA
Molecule: long non-coding RNA, 276 nt
Filed under: Homo sapiens (human)
Lineage: Eukaryota; Metazoa; Chordata; Mammalia; Primates; Hominidae
Description: long independently transcribed non-coding RNA 2356, transcript variant 1 (LINC02356)
Source: RNAcentral